Molecule: ribosomal RNA, 466 nt
Filed under: uncultured bacterium
Lineage: Bacteria
Description: partial 16S ribosomal RNA
Rfam family: Bacterial small subunit ribosomal RNA
Source: RNAcentral
GAUGAACGCUGGCGGCGUGCUUAACACAUGCAAGUCGAACGAUGAAGCCCAGCUUGCUGUGUGGAUUAGUGGCGAACGGGUGAGUAACACGUGAGUAACCUGCCCUUAACUCUGGGAUAAGCCUGGGAAACUGGGUCGAAUACCGGAUAGGAGCGUCCACCGCAUGGUGGGUGUUGGAAAGAUUUAUCGGUUUUGGAUGGACUCGCGGCCUAUCAGCUUGUUGGUGAGGUAAUGGCUCACCAAGGCGACGACGGGUAGCCGGCCUGAGAGGGUGACCGGCCACCCUGGGCCUGAGUCACGGCCCAGUCUCCUACGGGCGGCAGCAGUGGGGAAUCUUGCACAAUGGGCCCAAGCCUGAUGCAGCGACGCCGCGUGCGGGAUGCCGGCCUUCGGGUUGUAAACCUCUUUCAGUAGGGAAGAAGCGAACGUGACGGUACCUGCACAAGAAGCACCGGCUAACUACGUG